Molecule: ribosomal RNA, 264 nt
Filed under: uncultured Glomeromycotina
Lineage: Eukaryota; Fungi; Glomeromycota
Description: partial 18S ribosomal RNA
Rfam family: Eukaryotic small subunit ribosomal RNA
Source: RNAcentral
UUAAAAAGCUCGUAGUUGAAUUUCGGGAUUAGUACGUUGGUCGUGCCUUGGGUACGUACUGGUGUUACUGGUUCCUACCUUCUGACGAACCAUCAUGUCAUUAAUUUGGUGUGGCGGGGAAUCAGGACUGUUACUUUGAAAAAAUUAGAGUGUUUAAAGCAGGCUCGCGCUUGAAUACAUUAGCAUGGAAUAAUGAAAUAGGACGUUGACCCUAUUUUGUUGGUUUCUAGGAUUGACGUAAUGAUUAAUAGGGAUAGUUGGGGG